Molecule: ribosomal RNA, 271 nt
Filed under: uncultured bacterium
Lineage: Bacteria
Description: partial 16S ribosomal RNA
Rfam family: Bacterial small subunit ribosomal RNA
Source: RNAcentral
UAUGUAGGGUGCAAGCGUUAAUCGGAAUUACUGGGCGUAAAGCGUGCGCAGGCGGUUUUGUAAGUCUGUCGUGAAAUCCCCGGGCUCAACCUGGGAAUUGCGAUGGAGACUGCAAGGCUAGAAUCUGGCAGAGGGGGGUAGAAUUCCACGUGUAGCAGUGAAAUGCGUAGAGAUGUGGAGGAACACCGAUGGCGAAGGCAGCCCCCUGGGUCAAGAUUGACGCUCAUGCACGAAAGCGUGGGGAGCAAACAGGAAUUAGAAAACCCGGGGU